CCUACGGGUGGCUGCAGUGGGGAAUAUUGGACAAUGGGCGAAAGCCUGAUCCAGCCAUGCCGCGUGUGUGAAGAAGGCCUUCGGGUUGUAAAGCACUUUCAGUGGGGAAGAAAGUCUUGGGGCUAAUACCCUCGAGGAAGGACAUCACCCACAGAAGAAGCACCGGCUAACUCCGUGCCAGCAGCCGCGGUAAUACGGAGGGUGCGAGCGUUAAUCGGAAUUACUGGGCGUAAAGCGCGCGUAGGCGGUCUGAUAAGCCGGUUGUGAAAGCCCCGGGCUCAACCUGGGAACGGCAUCCGGAACUGUCAGGCUAGAGUGCAGGAGAGGAAGGUAGAAUUCCCGGUGUAGCGGUGAAAUGCGUAGAGAUCGGGAGGAAUACCAGUGGCGAAGGCGGUCUUCUGGACUGACACUGACGCUGAGGUGCGAAAGCGUGGGUAGCAAACAGGAUUAGAUACCCCGGUAGUC
This 465-nucleotide ribosomal RNA is filed under the name Vreelandella stevensii. RNAcentral describes it as "partial 16S ribosomal RNA". It matches the Rfam family "Bacterial small subunit ribosomal RNA", at positions 338 to 795 of the family's 1533-position model. Lineage: Bacteria; Pseudomonadati; Pseudomonadota; Gammaproteobacteria; Oceanospirillales; Halomonadaceae. The record is from RNAcentral.